GCCUCUUUGGGGACAUCCGAUAAAAUUGGAACCAUACAGAGAAGAUUAGUAUACCCCCUGCGCAAUGAUGACACAAUUCGAGAAAUGGUCCAAAAUUUU
Molecule: small nuclear RNA, 99 nt
Organism: Cornus florida
Lineage: Eukaryota; Viridiplantae; Streptophyta; Magnoliopsida; Cornales; Cornaceae
Source: RefSeq, a predicted model, not a curated record